Sardina pilchardus (European sardine) is the source of this 292-nucleotide long non-coding RNA. RefSeq lists it as uncharacterized. Lineage: Eukaryota; Metazoa; Chordata; Actinopteri; Clupeiformes; Clupeidae. The transcript has 2 exons. The record is from RefSeq and is a predicted model, not a curated record.
UCACAAGUGGCUCCAGUCUGGUUUGGGUGUCUACGCUUUCUCAUUCUGUCCUGCCACCCAAGUAAAGUUAUUCACAAGUGGCUCCAGUCUGGUUUGGGUGUCUAAGCUUUCUCAUCCUGUCCACACACACACACACACACACACACACACAAACACACACACACCAGUUACACUGCCUGGUGUUCAUUUUCAUGUAUCAUAGGUGUGCAGAUGUUGUAUGAAUUGAAAGUGAGUUGUAUGAAUUAAAAUGUUAAUAUUGUUUACUGUAUUUAAUAAAAAAGCUUUUAAAUGA